Molecule: non-coding RNA, 176 nt
Filed under: Garciella nitratireducens
Lineage: Bacteria; Bacillati; Bacillota; Clostridia; Eubacteriales; Eubacteriaceae
Also listed under: 1 other name
Description: Lysine sequence
Rfam family: Lysine riboswitch aptamer
About the family: Riboswitches are metabolite binding domains within certain messenger RNAs that serve as precision sensors for their corresponding targets.
Source: RNAcentral
AAUAUAGAUAGAGGUGCAUUUUUUAUAAGUAAGUUUUGGAGAGGAAAGGGACUCAAUGAAAAAAACUGAAAGGAAAAAAUGCCGAAGGAGAUUUUUUCCCUUUUUAAAAACCUCCUGGGCUUAUUGUGAAUAACAAUAAGACUGUCAUCAUAAUUUGAUGGUGCGCUAUCUGUGAA